Non-coding RNA from Pseudomonadales bacterium GWC1_66_9, 135 nucleotides. Lineage: Bacteria; Pseudomonadati; Pseudomonadota; Gammaproteobacteria; Pseudomonadales. The record is from Rfam.
CUGGAUAAAUUUUAGACAACCUCGUGAAUUCUUUGGAUUCGCCUGAAAAAAACAUAGCAGUCUUGCGCAUGCUCAGUUUACUUACUAAAAGUUAUAGGUAGUAUGUUGCUCGGCGAAUUUCCCUCGCAUGGGAAA